This 164-nucleotide ribosomal RNA is filed under the name Gentiana crassicaulis. RNAcentral's name for it is "5.8S ribosomal RNA". It matches the Rfam family "5.8S ribosomal RNA". Rfam says of the family: 5.8S ribosomal RNA (5.8S rRNA) is a component of the large subunit of the eukaryotic ribosome. The record is from RNAcentral. Lineage: Eukaryota; Viridiplantae; Streptophyta; Magnoliopsida; Gentianales; Gentianaceae.
AAAAUGACUCUCAGCAACGGAAAUCUCUGCUCUCUCAUCGAUGAAGAAUGUAGCGAACUGCGAUACUUGGUGUGAAUUGCAGAAUCCCAUGAACCAUCGAGUUUUUGAACAAACGUUGUGCCCGAAGCCAUUAGGCCGAGGGCACGUCUGCCUGGGCGUCACGC